This is a long non-coding RNA of Perca fluviatilis (European perch), 380 nucleotides long. RefSeq lists it as uncharacterized. The record is from RefSeq and is a predicted model, not a curated record. NCBI's taxonomy places the organism in Eukaryota, Metazoa, Chordata, Actinopteri, Perciformes, Percidae. The transcript is spliced from 2 exons.
GGGAAAAAGAAGUUUAAGGACUUGUGUCUUUUCAACGUUGUGUAUGAGGCUCUUAAGAAGAAUUCGUUGGUGAACCAGCAGGAGGCAGAGAGGGCACUGUCGAAAUGGCUCAUUGGGGCAAGAGACAGAGGAGGACGAAGGGCAUCCAGACAGCCAGUGCCAAAUUAAAAAGUACUGAGCAGUGGUGGAAUAUGAGUGAGUGCAGAAAAUUUGUAUUCAGGUACAAGUACAGUUAAACUGUUAAAAUAUUUUCAGUUACAGACAAAACGUUGACACACUGUUACAUUGUUUUUCUGGAACAAUUAUUUUCAUUACCAAUGAAUCUGUUGAUCAUUUUGUCUGUUAUCAGAAAAAUAUUCGUAAAUAAAAAGUUGAAAUCA